UUCGUUGAACAAAGCCUAUACAAAAGUGUAAAGAAAGCAGCGGCCAUUGCCCUAAUUGAGAAAAGUUCACUCCGUUCAAUUGGCGAAGGAAAACGUACAAUACAGAAGAUGACGAAGUCCUCCAAUGGCUCCUGACAUGCGUAGGAGGAAUCCUCUAAAAAUCAAAAGGAGAAAAGUCCAAAAGAAAAGCUAAGCUGAAGGUCACAAUUGCGCCUGACAUGCCAAAAGAAAAAGCUACUAUAAAGCUAGCCAGGAAAAGUCAACCAAGAACUAAGCUAAGUUUUCUUUUCUCCUGCCAUGCCCGCAGGAAACUUUCUAAUCAAAAGCCAAGGGAAGAAAAGUCAAAGAUCAAGCUCCCCAAGGAUCGUCCCCUUCUCUGCUAUCUUUUUUUGGUUUUUAUCUCCUGCUUCUCCCCAUACCUCCUGCGGCAGCUCUCCAGCCAGGAAAGGAACCCUUCGGAGGGCCAAAAAUGACCGAAAAGGGCUUGUGUCCCUUUUUCCAAAAAUACCCUUGCAAGCUUUCUAUUCUAUUUCUUUCCCGAUGACUGUCAAAAUAGCAGUGAUUGUGGUAUUCUUGAUCCACUCCCUGAAAUAAGUGCAAAUUACGAAAAGUGAGUAGAAUCCAACAAUUAGUUCACAUCGGGUCAGGUAAUAGGGGAAAUUAAUAAUAAAAUAAAUAAUAAAAUUGCAACCUAUCAAUUAGUGUAUUGACUUUCACAAUAACAUGUGUAAGUAAAUAAGUUUUUAUUUUGAUUUGAAAUAAAUUAUAAGUUUGUAACUAAUAUAACUUAUCACUAAUUAUUGUAAUUUGUAGGGGUGAGCAAAUUCGGUUCUUACCGAAUUCAUGACCGAUUUCAAAUUCAAUUCGGUAAUUUGAAAUCGGGUAUUUGGUAAUUUGGUAUAAAUUCGGUAUAUGCCGAAUUCACCGAAUUCUAAUAUGGUAUGAAAUAGGUAAUGAGAUUAUGAAUUUGGUAAUAACCGAUUUCGCAUUCAAAUUCGGUAAUUGAAAUCGGGUACCGCAUUACCGCAUUCGAAUUACCAAAUUGAUAUAUAAAAUUAUAUAAUAUAUAGAUAAAUGCUAUUUAGUAUUAGUAUAUACUACUAAUACUUUAUUAUAUUAUAUAGGUAAAUGCUAUUAAUAAUAAUUAGUAUAUGGUAUUAUCAUCAUAUCAUGUACUUAUAAUAAUAAUAAUAUAUAAUAAUGUACAAUAUAUUCUUUUAGUAUUUGUUAAUUUUUAUAUGACUAUAAUAAUACAAAUAUAUAGUAAUACAUAACAAUAUAAGAUAACUAUAAUACUUAUUAUUUUAUACAUGAGUAACAUGACUAGAAUUAGAUAAUAAUUAAUACAUAUAUGUAUAAUACUAAAUAUUAAACAAUAAACAUAAUUCAUAAUUAGAAUUUAGAUAUUGGUAAUUUGAUAUAUUAUUCAUGUUUGAAUUAUUAAAUAUUUGAAUGCGUAAUCUGUAACUUGCAAGUAUUAGUGUGUACUCUACAUAUUUAACAUAAAAAUUCAUAUUAUCUACUAAUCUUAAUUCUUAAGGCUUUAGCCUUUAAGUAUAGAUAAGACAACUAAGCAGUUAGCAAUGUAAAUGAAUGCAUAUGAAUUGCAAAUCAAUGUAUUAGUGUAUUGACUUUCACAAUAACAUAUGUAAGUAAAUAAGUUUUAUUUUGAUUUGAAAUAAAUUAUAAGUUUGUAACUAAUAUAACUUAUCACUAAUCAUUGUAAUUUGUAAGUUUGUAACUAAUAUUACUUAUUAUUAAUCAUUGUAAAUUAUGAAUUUAUAAAUUAUCACUAAUCAUUGUGUUCCUUAAAUCAUAGACUAAGGAUUCUAGGUAUAAGUUGUCAAAUAAGUUAAAAUUCAUAUUAUCUAUUUACUAAUUUUAAGGUUUUAAGUAUAGACAAGACAACUAAAUAGUAUAAGUGAAUGCAUGUGAAUUGCAAAUUAGUGUAUUAGUGUAUUGACUUUCACAAUAACAUGUGUAAGUAAAUAAGUUUUUAUUUUGAUUUGAAAUAAAUUAUAAGUUUGUAGCUAAUAUAACUUAUCACUAAUUAUUGUAAUUUGUAAGUUUGUAACUAAUAUUAUUUAUUAUUAAUUACUGUAAAUUAUAAAUUCAUUGUAACUACUAACUAAUAUUACUUAUUAUUAAUCAUUGUAAAUUAUAAAUUCAUAAAUUAUCACCAAUCAUUGUAUAGUUUAAGGUUUAUUCUAGUUUAAAUUAAUAGAUAAAUUAUUAAUUUUUUUAAUAGAUGAAUUCGGUUUAACCGAAUUCAUUACCGUUUUCGAAUUUGAAAUCGGUUGCGGUAUGAAUUUGGUUAUGGCUAAUUCGGAAUUGAAAACGACUUAGAUUUCUAUAGGUAGAAUAACUGAAUUCACCGAAUUCAGUGCACCGAAUUACGGAUUUUGCACCGAAUGCACACCCCUAGUUAUAAUCACCCAUAUCCAUGUUCAAAGAAUAAUUCUCCUAAUAUGAUCAAGCAAAUGAACUAACUUAUUUUACAAUUUCUUAAAUGAAAUGCAAUGUUAAAUGAUAUGAUUAACACAUAUAGAGGAUAGGGGAUAAUAUAAUAGGGAAUAUCAUGCAAAUGAGAAAAGAUCCUAAAAAUGAAAAUAUACAUGAAAAUGUAAUGAAUAUCACACAAAGAUGAAUCUAAUACAUAAACAAUCUAAGGGUCUAGCGUUGAACUAGCUCAUUUCUAAAAGUCCUUAUUAGCGUUGGACUAGCAAAUAAACGGAGGGAGAAGCCACAACUAGCGUUGGACUAGUAUGAUGACGUCAUGCAUUAAUAAUACAUAAUAAAACAAAUAAGGCACAAAUUAAAACAAAUAAACACAUAAAACCACAUAACACGUAACACGUAAAUAUAAUAUCUAGAUACAAAAAUCUUAGGAAAAGCGGAUAAAGCAUAUAACACAUAAACCAUAUAAACACACAACCUACCUAUUACAUCGGAGAGCCUAACUACAAUCUAAAUGGGAAAGUAUGAAAUAAACCUACCUAUCAUAUCUAUUACAUUGGUCUAUCUAAUUACAAUUUUUGUAAAAAAAUAUUACCUAUCUAUUAAUCUUGAGGUAUUUAAACACCUCUCAAAUAAUUAAAAAAAAUUAACUAAACAAACAUUAAAAAAUUAGAAUAAACAUUUGAAUCAAAUAAAUAACAAAACAUAUAAAAAUAUAUAGACACAUAAGAGCAUGUAAGAGCAUAUAAGAGCACGUAAUUGACAUUUAAAUGAUAAUAGAGGUACAUUCAUUUUGAAGUGGUGACUAAAUGGAAGUCAAAUUGCCCUAUUUAUACUCAAAAUGAACAAAACAACCAUGGUACCAAUUUAAUUGAAAAUAAUAAUAAUGAUAAAAAUACUAAAUUCACAUUAAUAUAUCAAAUAUAAAGAAACUUAAGAACAUCUAAAAAUUACAAGUUAAAUAUAUUUAAAAGUAAUAUAAUUAACUAUUAAAGAAAAAAAAUAAUCGUAAUAAAGAGAGUCAAACUUUACUAUGGACUAAAUUGUAAAAAUCAAAAAGUUUUGGAGUCAAGAAUAUAAUUUUUCCAAAAUUUAAGGGUUAAAAUUAAAUAAAAGAUAAAGUUUAAAGGCCAAUGUGCAAUUAUUUUAAGUACCUAAGUGAAAGAAAUUUAAAAUAUUCUGGGCCAAAACAAAAUUACUCCAAAGAUCACGGGCUAAAGUGCAAAUUUGAUCUUUGCCUUGUGUAAGAAAAAGGCCAUCAGGCCAUCAUUUUAUUUCUUUGGGCCAAAACUACCUAAACCCAACUAAAACCCAAAAGAAAUAAGCAGUCCAGCCCAUCCUCUUAUCACUCAAGCUCGACAAAAAAAUGCAUGGAUUCUGAUCUUCUAACCCAACCCAAACGCAAAAGAAAUAAACGAAAACCCAUUUCCAAAACCCAAUCCAAAAAUAACCACAAGCCCAUAAAAGAAAAAAAAACACUAGCCCAAUCCAUUUUUCUUUUUUUCUUUUUCUUUCUUUUCUUCCGUUUCUCCUUCUUCUCGUUUGGCAACUUGAAGCCCCUCACCACCGCCAGCCAUGGCUGACCUGGCGGCUGCCGGCGCCAGCGCCACCGGUCACAGGCAAAUUUUUUCCGGUCGCAAAAUUUCACAAAAAUACACUCCGUUACUCGAUUUUUCGCGUAGAAUCUGUUUUCGAAGUUAAUUUUUACAAAAAAUAACCCAAAAGUGGCCAAAAUACCCAGCCCAGUUUUUUAUUUUUUAAAAACACUAUAAUCACCACUAAAAUUUAUGAAAUUUAUACCACAACACUCCUUACAACUUCUACAAUACAAUUAUGAUUUUAAUUUGACAAGAAAACAACAUAAAAGGGCUAAAAUAAAGCAAAACAGCCCCUAAAAUUCAUUUUUUCCAUUUUGGCAUUUUUUCAAACAGUUAAAUGCAUACAUAAAAAACAUUUCCUUUUCCUCAAUCUAGUUCAUGUCAUUUCCCAAAUUUCAGCAAUACAACAACAACAAUAAAAACCAGCAAAAGCGAGAUAAAUUAAAACCAAAAUGUAUCUAAUAUGCCUUAAAAAAAUCUGGAAAAUACCUCAAUGAAAGUGGAAUUGCCUUGGCUGAAGUUUUUCUGAUGCCUAUGAGUGUGUUGGAAAAAUAUUGGGAAAGAGAAAAGGCCGAGGGAAAUUUUCUUCUUCUUCCGUGUUUCUCUUCUGCGUUCCAAGCCAAGAGAGAGUCCCCCCCUUUUUCUUCUUUUUGUUCGUUAAGAGCCAGCCGAGAGGGAGGAAAAUUUUUUUUCUUCUUUUCUGUUUCUUUCCGCUGCCCAAGUCCGAGAGAGGGAGAGAGUGAGGAGUAAGAGUGGAGUGUUUUUCUUUUUUGGCUCGU
RNAcentral lists this long non-coding RNA (4834 nucleotides) under Coffea arabica (coffee). Its description in RNAcentral is "long non-coding RNA (CARA_LNC001181)". Lineage: Eukaryota; Viridiplantae; Streptophyta; Magnoliopsida; Gentianales; Rubiaceae. The record is from RNAcentral.